GUAGGAGGCCGAAGAGAUCUUUUGCGGGACUGUCUCGAACCGCUGCGGCAAAACAGGGCGCAUUCUCGUCAUUUAUUCCACGCUUAGUGACCAGAAUAUCCCUUGUUUCGAUCUCAUAAUUUUUUUUACGAGUGAGAUUCUCUUCACGGGAGUACGAGGCAGCUGUCUGCAGGUCGGAAUCCUGUCGGGGGCUUUCCUCCUUGGGCUACGGUAUUGGACGCAGACAUUCGAACUCUCCAGGCGAAUCAAAGAAUUGAGGCACUGCUGUUUAAUCCACACCUCAGACAAUUGCUUCUCACUGUAGACCAAGCUGAGGAUAAAGCGGCCAUCGUGAAAGUUGCCAUGCAGGAACCCUUGUUCGUGGAAUUUGCUGACCAGUGCCUGAAAAUUGUAUAAAUGCCGUCCAAAUCCAUGCAUCAUAGCCACACUGUAAAGUGUUGUAAACAUUAUUUCAUGAUUUAAUAAAAUUCUGUGAAUUUUGAAA
Molecule: long non-coding RNA, 484 nt
Organism: Anguilla anguilla (European eel)
Lineage: Eukaryota; Metazoa; Chordata; Actinopteri; Anguilliformes; Anguillidae
Exons: 2
Source: RefSeq, a predicted model, not a curated record